ACAAAUCUGUGGUGAUGUUGCGUUGCGAGGAAUUGCACGUGACACCAUUUGCUCCGUGUGCAUGCUGUGCACAUUGUGACAUUUCUGCUCAACGUCUGAUUAUUGCAUUUGAAACAGAAU
RNAcentral lists this unclassified non-coding RNA (120 nucleotides) under uncultured Rozellomycota. RNAcentral's name for it is "uncultured Cryptomycota sequence contains ITS1". The record is from RNAcentral. Lineage: Eukaryota; Fungi; Rozellomycota.